RNAcentral lists this ribosomal RNA (497 nucleotides) under uncultured bacterium. RNAcentral's name for it is "partial 16S ribosomal RNA". It matches the Rfam family "Bacterial small subunit ribosomal RNA", at positions 28 to 507 of the family's 1533-position model. The record is from RNAcentral.
GACGAACGCUGGCGGCGUGCCUAAUACAUGCAAGUAGAACGCUGAAGAGAGGAGCUUCCUCUUCUUGGAUGAGUUGCGAACGGGUGAGUAACGCGUAGGUAACCUGCCUUGUAGCGGGGGAUAACUAUUGGAAACGAUAGCUAAUACCGCAUAACAAUGGAUGACACAUGUCAUUUAUUUGAAAGGGGCAAUUGCUCCACUACAAGAUGGACCUGCGUUGUAUUAGCUAGUAGGUGAGGUAAUGGCUCACCUAGGCGACGAUACAUAGCCGACCUGAGAGGGUGAUCGGCCACACUGGGACUGAGACACGGCCCAGACUCCUACGGGAGGCAGCAGUAGGGAAUCUUCGGCAAUGGGGGCAACCCUGACCGAGCAACGCCGCGUGAGUGAAGAAGGUUUUCGGAUCGUAAAGCUCUGUUGUAAGUCAAGAACGGGUGUGGGAGUGGAAAGUUCACACUGUGACGGUAGCUUACCAGAAAGGGACGGCUAACUACGUG